GAUGAACGCUGGCGGCGUGCCUAAUACAUGCAAGUCGAGCGAACAGACGAGGAGCUUGCUCCUCUGACGUUAGCGGCGGACGGGUGAGUAACACGUGGAUAACCUACCUAUAAGACUGGGAUAACUUCGGGAAACCGGAGCUAAUACCGGAUAAUAUAUUGAACCGCAUGGUUCAAUAGUGAAAGACGGUUUUGCUGUCACUUAUAGAUGGAUCCGCGCCGCAUUAGCUAGUUGGUAAGGUAACGGCUUACCAAGGCGACGAUGCGUAGCCGACCUGAGAGGUUGAUCGGCCACACUGGAACUGAGACACGGUCCAGACUCCUACGGGAGGCAGCAGUAGGGAAUCUUCCACAAUGGGCAAAAGCCUGACGGAGCAACGCCGCGUGAGUGAUGAAGGUCUUCGGAUCGUAAAACUCUGUUAUUAGGGAAGAACAAAUGUGUAAGUAACUAUGCACGUCUUGACGGUACCUAAUCAGAAAGCCACGGCUAACUACGUG
RNAcentral lists this ribosomal RNA (497 nucleotides) under uncultured bacterium. Its description in RNAcentral is "partial 16S ribosomal RNA". It matches the Rfam family "Bacterial small subunit ribosomal RNA", at positions 28 to 507 of the family's 1533-position model. The record is from RNAcentral.